RNAcentral lists this ribosomal RNA (253 nucleotides) under uncultured bacterium. RNAcentral describes it as "partial 16S ribosomal RNA". It matches the Rfam family "Bacterial small subunit ribosomal RNA", at positions 524 to 776 of the family's 1533-position model. The record is from RNAcentral.
UACGUAGGGGGCAAGCGUUGUCCGGAUUUAUUGGGCGUAAAGAGCGUGUAGGCGGCCAGACAGGUCAGCUGUGAAAACUCGAGGCUCAACCUCGAGACGUCGGUUGAAACCGUGCGGCUAGAGUCCGGAAGAGGAGAAUGGAAUUCCUGGUGUAGCGGUGAAAUGCGCAGAUAUCAGGAAGAACACCCGUGGCUAAGGCGGUUCUCUAGUACGGUACUGACGCUGAGACGCGAAAGCGUGGGGAGCGAACAGG